Molecule: ribosomal RNA, 468 nt
Filed under: uncultured bacterium
Lineage: Bacteria
Description: partial 16S ribosomal RNA
Rfam family: Bacterial small subunit ribosomal RNA
Source: RNAcentral
GACUAACGCUGGCGGCGUGCUUAACACAUGCAAGUCGAACGGAAAGGCCCUACUGUGGUGGGGUGCGCGAUUGGCGAACGGGUAAUUAACACGUGAGUAACCUACCCUUGACUUUGUGAUGACUUCAGGAAGCUUGGGCUAAUACCAGAUAGUGACACCUGCUACAUGGUGGAGGUUGGAAAGUUUCGGCGGAUGGGGUUGGACUCGCGGCUAAUCAGCUUGUUGGUGGGGUAGUGUCUUACCAAGGCUUUGACGGGUAGCCUGCCUGAGAGGGUGACCGGCCACAUUGGGACUGAGAUACGGCCCAGACUACUACGGGAGGCAGCAGUGGGGAAUAUUGCACAAUGGGCGGAAGCCUGAUGCAGCAACGCCGCGUGCGGGAUGACGGCCUUCGGGUUGUAAACCGCUUUAGCCUGUGACGAAGCGUGAGUGACGGUAAUGGGUAAAGAAGCACCGGCUAACUACGUG